This 4730-nucleotide long non-coding RNA is filed under the name Homo sapiens (human). RNAcentral's name for it is "AGA divergent transcript, transcript variant 24 (AGA-DT)". The record is from RNAcentral. Lineage: Eukaryota; Metazoa; Chordata; Mammalia; Primates; Hominidae.
AUCCCUGGGCCUGGGCCUACCUAGGUGAAGACAGGCAUUUUUGUUUUCCUGCCCGGAUGUUGCAUUUCCCAAGACCACCCUGGCCUGCCAUGCCCUCAUCCUGUGCCUUUAAAAACCCCCGAGACCCUGGCAGGCAGACGCACAAGCAGCUGGACAUUGAGAGGAGCAUAUAGGCAGAGAAUACAGGGGCUGCUGGAUGUCGAAAGGAACGCACCAGCAUAGGAGCACACCGGCAUGCUGGCAGGCCAUUGACCAGCGGAAGAAUGCAGAGUUUGUCGCGGGAGGUCAGAGAAGAGUCAGGCCGCCAUACCUGACUCCAGGAGAAAACCGUCUCCCUUCUGGUUCCCCCGUCUGCCGAGAGCUACUUCCACUCAAUAAAACUUUCCACUCAUUCUUCAAGCCCACGUGUGAUCCAAUUCUUCCCGUACACCAAGGUCUCGCUGUGUUUCCCAGGCUGGGUGCAGUGGCUAUUCAAAGGUACAAUGAUAGCUCACUGCAGCCUGGAACUCCUGGACUCAAGCGAUCCUCCUGCCUCAGCUGCGACUAACAGCUCCAAGUUUAGAAGACCCUACGACGUGACUCAGUAAGUGGCCUCACCUUCAUCCGAUUGCUCAGAAUUAAAACCUAGAAGUCAUCCUUGAUUUUCUCCUCUCAAAUCUGUCUCCAUUCAUCAGCACGUGCUUUUGACUCGAUGAAACGCUCCAAACACAACUGCUUCCCACCGCCUCCACUGCUGCCUCUUGUCCCUGCAGCAUCAUCUCUCACCCACAUUGGCCACAGCGGCUUGUUGUUGGUGUUCCUGCUUCUACUUUUGACUUGUUUCUAUUGUCUUCCAUGCCCACUGGAACUGUAAUUAUUUUUUGCAAAUGUAAGUUAGAUAAUGACAUUCCACUGUUAAAAAAAAAACAAAACAGAAAACAAAAUGAAAGAACAAAAUAAAAAUGUCUAGUGACCCCCUGUUACACCUAGCCGAAAAUCCUUACUUGGCCCAGAAGGGCCUAGAUUCUCAGUCUUGACUGCACAUGGGAAAUCACCUGGGGACUUGAAAAAUACUGACUUUAGCUGGGUCUGGGGAAUUGUGUGUGUGUGUAUGUGUGUGUGAGAUGGAGCUUCGCUUUUAUUGCCCGGGCUACAGUGCAAUGGCACCAUCUCAGCUCACCGCAACCUCCGCCUCCCCAGUUCAAGCCGUUCUCCUGCCUCAGCCUCCCGAGUAGGUGGGAUUACAGGCAUGCACCAUGACGCCCGGCUAAUUUUUUCUAUUUUUGGUAGAGACGGGGGUUUCUCCAUGUUGGUCAGGCUGGUCUCGAACUCCUGACCUCAGGUGAUCCACCUGCCUCGGCCUCCCAAAGUGCUGGGAUUACAGGCGUGAGCCACCGCGCCCAGCCGGCACAGGGAAUUUAAAAGCUUCCCAGAAGUUUCUGAUGUAUAACCAAGAUUGAGAGCUACUCUAGGAUCCUUCCACCACUCUCUUCCUCUCUCUAUCUCCACCCCAGUUGCUUACUUGCUGUGUUUUGAGCACACUCUGAUCCUUUCCACCCCAAAGCAUGGAUCAUUCUUGCCCCAGAUAUUUGCAUGAGCUAUUCUUUCACACAAAGAGGUCUCUGCUCAAAUGUUACCUUUUCAAAUAUAUUUUCCCCAACGAACCUACCUAAUGACUAUUUUUUUACCCUGUAUAUUUUUAGUUUUUAUAUGAAAUUAUAUUACUUGCUUCUUUACCUGUUUAUUGGUGCUCUUCCUCACAAGCAUGUAAGUGCAUGAAGAUAGACACCUUGUCUUAUUCACUAAGACAUUAUCACCCUGGCAUAUAGCGUGCUUGGAACUCAUUCUCUGAUUAGUGUUUUUCAGUGAAAAAAAUGAGGAUUACUCAAGGUUCUGGGAUCUGGAUUUGCUACAAGUAGCUAAUUGUAGCUUAUGGAUUCUCUGGUUUGUAAGGCUUUUGUUGCUUUUGUUCUAUUUGCAACCCUAGACUUUCCUUCCAGAAAUAGUCAUCUGGGCGUGGUGCCUCACACAUGUAAUCCCCAUACUGACACAGGUCGAUCACUUGAGGCCAGGAGUUCGAGAUCAGCCUGGCCGAUAUGGUGAAAUCCCCUCUCUAUUGAAAACACAAAAAACUAGCCAGGUGUAGUGGCGGGCGCCUGUAAUCCCAGCUACUCAGGAGGCUGAGGCAGGAGAAUAGCUUAAACCCAGGAGGUGGAGAUUGCAGCGAGCCCAGAUUGCCCCACUGCACUCCAGCCUGGGCGACAGAGGGAGACUUUGUCUCAAAAAAAAAAAAAAAGUCAAGGAGUCUUUUGCUUUUACUUGCUUACCUAUGCCGCUAUAUUUUACAUUCAACUUCCUUCUGAUACACAGGAAGGACUGUGUCUGCUUGGACUGGACACAGUUGGACUUUCAAGUGAGUUGGCUGGCUGUGGGUCUUUGAUUAUUCCUCUCUGUUAGAGGGGCAGAAUCCACCAUUUUCUUAGGAGAAUGGUGCAAGUGGGAAAUCCUUGUCCUAUAGGCUGAAGGCCAGUCACUUCUCUCUCUCUCUCUCUCUUUCUUUCUUUCUCUCUCUCAAUAGGGUCUCACUCUAUUCCUGGGCUGGAGUGCAGUGACACUAUCACAGUGCACCAUAGCCUCAACCUCCUGGACUCAGGUGAUCCUCCUACCUCAGUCUCCCAAGUAGCUGGGACUACAGGUAUGCGCCAUUAUUCCCAGCUAUUUUUUAUUAUCUUUUUUGUAGAGAUGGCGUUUCACCAUUUUGCCCAGGCUACUUCUCUCUCUCUUUAUUCAUGCUUCCUUUCACUUUUUGAUAUCUAAGCCUUGCCCAUCUCUUUUUCUCAGCCAGGGGGAUGGAUCUACACAUAGAGGACUUAAGCUCUAGGUACAGACCUUCCACAUACCUGUCUGCCUAUCCCUGGCUUAGGUCUGGGUCCUGGUCACUCACAAAGAGGUCCAAGAUGGGUAUAUUGCAGCUCCAAGGCAAGUAAAUGCUGCAAAUCUUUCUCCUGAAUUAGAACUUGAAUAAAGGAGGAGUCAGAGUCCAAAAUCACCCUCCAGCAUUGAGGCUGUGGGCUUACAGUGGUCGGGAGCGUCUGAGUGCUAACUCUUCCUGGCUAAAGAUUGAUUUCUCAGGAAUAGAAAAUCUCAUUCAUAUUCAUGUCGUAGGAUCUUUCAACAUGCUACGGUGCUAAUAUUAUUUCAUUAUUAUAAUCUUGGGAGUUAUUUUCCUGGUGAAGAACCAGAUGUAUGAGAGAUUAAGUUAUUGGUCUAGAGUCAUAUAGCUUGUGAGAAGAACUGAGGUUUGAACUUAUCAUUUGACUACAAGAACUGUGCAUGCUACAUUUUACCACAUUACUUUUCUAAAACUAAGAGAAAAUACAAUGAAAAAGUGAGAGAGGUGAGAAAAAAAUGGAGAAACUAAGAUGGAGAAAGAAUAAAAAGAGUGAAAUAAAUUUUACUUUGGAUUGGUGAAUAGAAACUGAUCUGGCUAUUUUAAGCAGAAAAGGAUUUUCUGUAGUGGAUUAAGUGCUAAUAAGAACAUACAUAUGAUGAUGACACAAAAGUGGGAACAGUCCUUUUUUGAAAAAGCGAAAAUAAGAAAAGUCAAAGAUGUCCUAAAUGUACAUGGCUAAAUGUUUUUUAAAAUUGGAGUGAUUCUGAAACAUAAUAUGUAAAAAAUUCUGCAACAUAUGGGCAACAGGAAAUAGGAAAAUGAUUAUGACAGAUAAAAAACAAAACUUUUUUGACUGUAUGCCAUGCAUGAAAGCUCAACAUUAAGGGAGUUUAUAAAGCCCUUACAAGAGUUUCUGCAUAUAGAGAGAGAUCAAUAAGUACUAGCUAUUAGUAUCACUAUCCUAACGUUUACCCAGGAGAAACCAUAGACUACAUAUAUCAUGUGGAAAGUGCCAACUCACACAAUUUUUGUUGCAAACUCCAGGUAGUUGACUAUUUUGAAAGUCCCUUCAAGUCUUCUAUUGUCAAGAUAAGUGACAAGGCACCCGCCUAUGGAGGGCUCCAGAUUCAAUAUUUGGUAAGGUGGCUCCAAACACAUCUGAGACAUAAGGUUGGUGGUGCCAGCCUCAAUAGAUUCUGUUCUUGCUUUUUUCUUUUUUUAAAUUAUAAGUCAUAUACUCCUUACGUCAAAUCAAACAGCAGAGAUGUAUGAAGAGAAAGUUCAGAAAUGCAGCCAAAUCAAAUUUCCCAUCUAAUUUUGCUAACGAAUGUUAAUGGCUGUAUGCCAGUCCACACAUUUCCAAUCAGUGCAUUUCAAAUUCAGGUAACGUUUGUUCAUUUUGGAAAAAGUUACAAAAUAGAAGCUAGGAGUAAAAUAGCAUGCCUUCAAAAGAAUUUCAUUUCAGAGAAUUAUUGGUGGAAAUACAAAGACAGUAAGCUUAAUUCCUUUAUGGAUAUAUGAACAAAAGGACUUAGAACAAACAAAUUACCUUUAUAGUAUUUUGUUAGUUAACUAUAAAAAUAAAUUUUUGUUGGUAUUAUUCUGGAAAAAAAAAGAAUGCUUAUUAAACAAGACUGUGAGCUCCUUAAGGAUUGGUAUUAUCAUAAAACCUAGCAAAGAACCAACCUCACCAUGUGAUGGGUAUUUUCUAAGUAUUUGUUAAAAUUUUAAAAAAGAACAUUUAAACUCCAUUAAAUGCCAGGCUUUUUGUUUCUAUAAUGUCAAUGGAGUGUUCAUUUUACUUAUUAUGAAUACUACUUUCUUCCACUAUAAUCAUUAAAAUCAGAUAAAACAUUUA